Molecule: ribosomal RNA, 102 nt
Filed under: Escherichia coli
Lineage: Bacteria; Pseudomonadati; Pseudomonadota; Gammaproteobacteria; Enterobacterales; Enterobacteriaceae
Description: partial 23S ribosomal RNA
Rfam family: Bacterial large subunit ribosomal RNA
Source: RNAcentral
GUCCUGAAGGAACGUUGAAGACGACGACGUUGAUAGGCCGGGUGUGUAAGCGCAGCGAUGCGUUGAGCUAACCGGUACUAAUGAGCCGUGAGGCUUAACCUU